AAUUCUCAACCGUUAUUAAUUUAGCGGCUUGGAUGUGUGGGUUGCCGGCUUACGUCAGCUCCCAUCAAAUGCAUUAGCCGGUGCCGUACGGGCGUCUAUUUUGGUGUGAUAAUUAUCUACGCCGGUGGACUCUGUCAUUUGCACUGCUUCUAACCGUCCCUUGACUUGGACAAUUCUUGACA
This 182-nucleotide unclassified non-coding RNA is filed under the name uncultured Agaricales. RNAcentral's name for it is "sequence contains ITS2". The record is from RNAcentral. Lineage: Eukaryota; Fungi; Basidiomycota; Agaricomycetes; Agaricales.